UGGCGGGGGUGAACUGCUAAGGCUCCCCAUGGAUUUUUGUGUCAUGGCAGCUGGGACAAACCUGAAGACAUCUGGACACUUGGGACAACUUUCCUCAUUGAUAUACCUGAGGUGAUCAUUGCCACACCUGGAUUAUCACAGGGAUCGAACUCAGGUCCUUGCACUUCUGCAGCAGGCGAUGAAACCACUGAGCUAAAUCCCCGGCCCUGAGGUCUUGGAAAGAUUUUCCCUGAAAGCUUUACCUUCAAGGCGACCCAGCUCAGAGCAAGUAAGUCCAUCACUUAUCGACCUUUUGACUAAGAUCAAGUGCAGAGCAAGGCGAGCUGCAUGCGGCCUUCCCUGCAUACCCAGAAUGCCUGGGUCUCCAUUCAUGCUGACAUUGAGGCAGGGUUCCCCAGAAAGCAGUCAUUUCAGGGUUGGGCCAUCAACCACACCUCUGCUCAUUCUGCAUGCAACUGCCCCAGCUGUCUAGUCAUCACAAUUUGGGGUUAGGGGUUUGGUUCCAGAACAGCAAACAGCAGCAGCAGCAGCAGCCCCAGCAAUUACUCUUACCACAUAGCCCAAGAAUAUUCCCAGAGUUGUCCCAUCAUGUUCAAUAUCUAGGCCAAUGCUUUUAGCUGUAUUAUCAAGCUUACUGCCAUUUAUAGAUUAAAAAGAAAACACAAAAAAAACCAACCCUGGGGCUAGAGAUUGCAACGUGGAAGACGAGGAUUUAUGUUUGGGUUCAAUUUCUGUAUCUGUACAUUGGAAAUAAUACAUACCACUUAGGGUUGCUGACAGGAUUAAAUAAAUGCUACGUAUGUGUUUACUUGUUUAUUGCCUAUUUUCUGCUCUAGACUAUAAACUCCAGCAAGCAAAGGCCUUCGCUUGUUCAUUGCUCUCUUGACAGAGCCUGAAAUCAGUGCCAGGUACAUAGCAGGUGUUCAAUAAAUUCUUUUUUUUUUUCAUU
RNAcentral lists this long non-coding RNA (949 nucleotides) under Heterocephalus glaber (naked mole-rat). Its description in RNAcentral is "lncRNA (ENSHGLG00100046333.1)". The record is from RNAcentral. Lineage: Eukaryota; Metazoa; Chordata; Mammalia; Rodentia; Bathyergidae.